RNAcentral lists this ribosomal RNA (449 nucleotides) under uncultured bacterium. Its description in RNAcentral is "partial 16S ribosomal RNA". It matches the Rfam family "Bacterial small subunit ribosomal RNA", at positions 28 to 523 of the family's 1533-position model. The record is from RNAcentral.
GACGAACGCUGGCGGCAGGCUUAACACAUGCAAGUCGAACGAGAUCUUCGGAUCUAGUGGCAGACGGGUGAGGAACACGUGGGAACAUCCCUUUCAGUUCGGAAUAACGUUGGGAAACUAACGCUAAUACCGGAUACGUCCUUCGGGAGAAAGAUUUAUCGCUGAAAGAUUGGCCCGCGUCUGAUUAGCUAGUCGGUGAGGUAACGGCUCACCAAGGCUACGAUCAGUAGCUGAUCUGAGAGGAUGAUCAGCCACAUUGGGACUGAGACACGGCCCAAACUCCUACGGGAGGCAGCAGUGGGGAAUAUUGGUCAAUGGGCGCAAGCCUGAUCCAGCCAUGCCGCGUGAGUGAUGACGGCCUUCGGGUUGUAAAGCUCUUUUGUCCGGGAAGAUAAUGACUGUACCGGAAGAAUAUGCCCCGGCAAACUUCGUGCCAGCCGCCGCAGUAA